AUUGAACGCUGGCGGCAUGCCUUACACAUGCAAGUCGAACGGCAGCACGGGUGCUUGCACCUGGUGGCGAGUGGCGAACGGGUGAGUAAUACAUCGGAACAUGUCCUGUAGUGGGGGAUAGCCCGGCGAAAGCCGGAUUAAUACCGCAUACGAUCUACGGGUGAAAGCGGGGGACCUUCGGGCCUCGCGCUAUAGGGUUGGCCGAUGGCUGAUUAGCUAGUUGGUGGGGUAAAGGCCUACCAAGGCGACGAUCAGUAGCUGGUCUGAGAGGACGACCAGCCACACUGGGACUGAGACACGGCCCAGACUCCUACGGGAGGCAGCAGUGGGGAAUUUUGGACAAUGGGCGAAAGCCUGAUCCAGCAAUGCCGCGUGUGUGAAGAAGGCCUUCGGGUUGUAAAGCACUUUUGUCCGGAAAGAAAUCCUUGGCCCUAAUACGGUCGGGGGAUGACGGUACCGGAAGAAUAAGCACCGGCUAACUACGUG
Molecule: ribosomal RNA, 486 nt
Filed under: uncultured bacterium
Lineage: Bacteria
Description: partial 16S ribosomal RNA
Rfam family: Bacterial small subunit ribosomal RNA
Source: RNAcentral